Molecule: ribosomal RNA, 451 nt
Filed under: Psychroflexus sp. R-39107
Lineage: Bacteria; Pseudomonadati; Bacteroidota; Flavobacteriia; Flavobacteriales; Flavobacteriaceae
Description: bacterial SSU rRNA
Rfam family: Bacterial small subunit ribosomal RNA
Source: RNAcentral
GAACGCUAGCGGCAGGCCUAACACAUGCAAGUCGAGGGGUAACAGGAGAGCUUGCUCUUGCUGACGACCGGCGCACGGGUGCGUAACGCGUAUACAAUCUACCUUAUAGAGGAGAAUAGCCCAGAGAAAUUUGGAUUAAUGCUCCAURGUAUUAUUGAGUAGCAUUACUUAAUAAUUAAACAUUUAUGGCUAUAAGAUGAGUAUGCGUCCUAUUAGCUAGAUGGUAAGGUAACGGCUUACCAUUGCUACGAUAGGUAGGGGUCCUGAGAGGGAGAUCCCCCACACUGGUACUGAGACACGGACCAGACUCCUACGGGAGGCAGCAGUGAGGAAUAUUGGACAAUGGGAGCAAUCCUGAUCCAGCCAUGCCGCGUGCAGGAAGACUGCCCUAUGGGUUGUAAACUGCUUUUAUACAGGAAGAAAAAGGUGUACGUGUACACUGUUGACGGUA